This 449-nucleotide ribosomal RNA is filed under the name uncultured bacterium. RNAcentral's name for it is "partial 16S ribosomal RNA". It matches the Rfam family "Bacterial small subunit ribosomal RNA", at positions 29 to 523 of the family's 1533-position model. The record is from RNAcentral.
AACGAACGCUGGCGGCAGGCCUAACACAUGCAAGUCGAGCGAAGCCUUCGGGCUUAGCGGCGGACGGGUGAGUAACGCGUGGGAACGUGCCCUUUGGUACGGAAUAGCCCCGGGAAACUGGGAGUAAUACCGUAUGUGGUCGAGAGACGAAAGAUUUAUCGCCAAAGGAUCGGCCCGCGUUGGAUUAGGUAGUUGGUGGGGUAAUGGCCUACCAAGCCGACGAUCCAUAGCUGGUUUGAGAGGAUGAUCAGCCACACUGGGACUGAGACACGGCCCAGACUCCUACGGGGGGCAGCAGUGGGGAAUCUUAGACAAUGGGGGAAACCCUGAUCUAGCCAUGCCGCGUGAUCGAUGAAGGCCUUAGGGUUGUAAAGAUCUUUCAGUGGGGAAGAUAAUGACUGUACCCACAGAAGAAGCCCCGGCUAACUCCGUGCCAGCAGCCGCAGUAA